UCCCUAUAUUACACAAUAAUUAAAUUAGAUACCUCUAUAUUACAAAAAUAUUAAACUAUUUGAUUCCUACAAUAUGAAAAUGGCUGAUAUCAAAGUAUUUCUUAGCGCCAUAUGAUAUCAAUAUAAAAAAAAUUGCAACAUAGAGAAAUACAUAAAAUAGAGGAAAUAGAAGUUUGCUUUCCAAUUUCAAAUUCCACUUUCAUUACAUUUCAUUAAUAUUCUACUUGUUUAUACUAAUUAUAAAGCCUUCAAAUGCCCCAAUAAUACUUCAAUCUUUCUACUCCUCUUUUAUCUUCAAUAUCCCUUUCCUAAUUUCAACACUCUAAUAUGCAAUGUUGCCGUUUCUCAUGACCCAAGUUGUUGUUUGUGUUGUGAACUUGAGAAGAAAUUGGAAUGUACCAAUCAUGCUAACUUCCACAAACAUGACAGUAAUAAUAUGUCCUUGGCCUAUUUGGAUUAUCAAUUGAUUUUGAGAUUCUAAUUCCAACUCUUUUUCACACCUACAAUUUACAUCCAUCAACCUAUCAACCUACCAUUCCACCCAUCUAUAUUAUGAGAGGAAGACAUUUUUAGAAAAAAAAAAAAAUCUUCUCUCCUCCUUUUAUAUUAAAAUUAAAAUUAAUGACACAAGGUAAAAAAGCAGUGGCAAAAACUAACUAAUUGAAUUUUUGAAAUAUGUUGGAUAUUUUAAUAUAUUUUUAAAAAUAUAGAGAUCAAAUAGUAAAUUUUUCCAUACUAUAAGGAU
RNAcentral lists this long non-coding RNA (745 nucleotides) under Manihot esculenta (cassava). RNAcentral's name for it is "long non-coding RNA (MESC_LNC004547)". The record is from RNAcentral. Lineage: Eukaryota; Viridiplantae; Streptophyta; Magnoliopsida; Malpighiales; Euphorbiaceae.